CCCUGGGGAAAUGAAGCCUACAGUUCUACCACUGGCCACUAGAUGUCGCUUUUCAGCCACAGUUCCCGGCUGGUGGACUCGCAGGAAAGGCGGAAGACACUGCCUGAGAGAGCCGAAGCGACAGACUCAGGCCUCACAGCCAGUUGGUACGGAGCCAGGAUCCGGAGCCAGGUGUCUCCGACGCCCCUGCCUGGGCCCUUUCUCCGCCACUGUGACCUCCAGGAGAUCCCGAGGGUGUCUUUCAGACUAAGGCAGAGAGCUGUGAUCACAGCCCCUGGGGUCCCCCUGCCUGCCUCAGGGCAUUAGCUGCCUGCCCACCCCGGCCCUCUCCUCUGAGAUUGCUGACCCCUGCGCAUCUUUCCCCAAUGUGUACGGUGUGUGCAAACUGCUCGCAGUUUAGCCUUUGAGCCCGUUUCCUCCUCCGUAAAUCCGGCUUUCAGGGUUGACACACUCAGAUUCCGCCUCCUGGGGUGGGGGGGGGCCUUCCGGGGCCACGCCCCAGGAGGCAGAGCCCCGCACUCACGAAGGGGUGAAAGUAUUUCACAUCUUCGCUGGUUUAUUAUCAUUGGUUCCCCAAGAGAAUGGAAGCUGCACAAAGACAGGGGCUUGACCUGAUAUGUUCACUGUUUCCUCCCCAACACCGAGGACCAGCCCCUAAAGCCGUGCCCGGCACACACGGCGUUCAGCAUGUAUCUGUGUGUGUGCAUUUCUCGGUGUGUGGUGAAGCACGAAUGAGUGACUUUAUGAUACGAUACAGCUACCAGUCCUGGAGUGCUCACUGCGUGCCAGGCACUGCGUUGAGAUUCCUAACAACCCCAUGAAGAAGGGCAAUUGGUAUACCCAUUCUGCAGAUCAGAACCCCGAGUCGUGUGGCAGUUAAAUAACUUACCCACACCCUAUGGUCUGGCUUUCAACCCCUGCGUGUCUGACUCCAGUGCUUAUCAGAAUGUUUCAUCGACUCAAAAGUGCCUAAAAACCAAGUGGCUCAUUUCGACAGAGCAUCUCCGGGUCUUGCUAAGAGCUGGACCUCUGCCGUGCGUGGAGACCCCUGCGGGGCCGGCCCUCUCCCAGGCCUCCUGGCCUUGCCGAGGGGAGAAGCACCGAGGCCCCACGGGAGCCCUGAGCAGAGACUCGCAUCUUCUCCCUCUCGCCGGCAGUGGUCCAAAAUUGAAAACAAACACUUUAAAAUAAAAGCCAUAUUAAAACCCAAACCCAGCUUUCUGCCUUAAAAUAUUGUGAGCCAGGGGGGCAAUUAGCAAUUAUGCUGUAUUUUAUUAUGAGGAGAUGGAAUUCUAAUUGGACUGAUUUGAAUUCCACACACCUCCACAGAUUGUUUUGGGAAUUAAGGUAUCAGUUGUAUCGGUAAUUAUGGUUUACCGUGAAAUUACCCCCCCACAGAAA
Long non-coding RNA from Phyllostomus discolor (pale spear-nosed bat), 1401 nucleotides. RefSeq lists it as uncharacterized. Lineage: Eukaryota; Metazoa; Chordata; Mammalia; Chiroptera; Phyllostomidae. The record is from RefSeq and is a predicted model, not a curated record. The transcript has 2 exons.